Molecule: long non-coding RNA, 369 nt
Organism: Selaginella moellendorffii
Lineage: Eukaryota; Viridiplantae; Streptophyta; Lycopodiopsida; Selaginellales; Selaginellaceae
Exons: 3
Source: RefSeq, a predicted model, not a curated record
UUAAGCACACCGGAGAAAGCUCUCUCACUUACCAGUACCUCUCGGACGCUUGGACCUCAACAAAAACGAAGAGUUGCAGAGAAGAAAAGCGGUAGAUUCGUCCCAGCCGACCUGAGAGGACAAAGAAAAGUGAGAAGACUCGGCUUGCUUUGGUAAAGCUCUCACCUUGAGAGAUCUCCAGUGGGAGUUUGGCCAUCUUACGGGAUCCAAAUCUCCUAUACCAGUGAUUGUUCCCAUGUACCUGUGGAUCAAACGGUCAGUUGCGGAGGAUGCAGUGCUUUCUGAUACUUCGCCAGUGGAAUCACAAACUCCGAGGGGCUCGCCCUGCGAAGAACGCAUCAGCCAGCUCCAAAACAGGAAGAGAACAAA